GAGUUUGGAUCCUGGCUCAGGGUUAACGCUGGCGGCGCGCAUCAUGCAUGUAAGUCGAACGAGGGCUCAUUUCUCGCAAGAGAGGUGAGUUCCUAGUGGCGAACGGGUGAGUAACACGUGGGCAACCUUCCCUAUCGCGGGGGAUAACAACGGGAAACCGAUGCUAAUACCGCAUGUUGUCACCGGCUCAUGGCCGGUGAAGAAAGCAGCAAUGCACGAUAGGAUGGGCCCGCGGCCUAUCAGCUAGUCGGUGGGGUAACGGCUCACCGAGGCGAUGACGGGUAGCUGGUCUGAGAGGACGGCCAGCCACACGGGGACUGCGACACGGCCCCGACUCCUACGGGAGGCAGCAGCAAGGAAUCUUCCGCAAUGGGCGAAAGCCUGACGGAGCGACGCCGCGUGUGGGAUGAAGUCUUUCGGGAUGUAAACCACUGUCGGAGGGGAAGACAUCGACGGUACCCUCCAAGAAAGCCCCGGCUAACUACGUGCCAGCAGCCGCGGUA
This 503-nucleotide ribosomal RNA is filed under the name uncultured bacterium. Its description in RNAcentral is "bacterial SSU rRNA". It matches the Rfam family "Bacterial small subunit ribosomal RNA", at positions 9 to 522 of the family's 1533-position model. The record is from RNAcentral.